AGCAGUCGCCGCGGUAAUACGGAGGGGGCUAGCGUUGUUCGGAAUUACUGGGCGUAAAGCGCACGUAGGCGGCUGUGUAAGUCAGAGGUGAAAGCCCGGGGCUCAACCCCGGAAUAGCCUUUGAGACUGCAUAGCUUGAACACGGGAGAGGUGAGUGGAAUUCCGAGUGUAGAGGUGAAAUUCGUAGAUAUUCGGAAGAACACCAGUGGCGAAGGCGGCUCACUGGACCGUUGUUGACGCUGAGGUGCGAAAGCGUGGGGAGCAAACAGGAUUAGAUACCCGCGUAGUCCCUGUCUCUUAUAA
RNAcentral lists this ribosomal RNA (303 nucleotides) under uncultured bacterium. RNAcentral describes it as "partial 16S ribosomal RNA". It matches the Rfam family "Bacterial small subunit ribosomal RNA", at positions 507 to 809 of the family's 1533-position model. The record is from RNAcentral.